RNAcentral lists this small RNA (356 nucleotides) under Desulfuribacillus alkaliarsenatis. Its description in RNAcentral is "low GC Gram-positive bacterium strain AHT28 cspA thermoregulator". It matches the Rfam family "cspA thermoregulator", at positions 83 to 428 of the family's 428-position model. The record is from Rfam by way of RNAcentral. Lineage: Bacteria; Bacillati; Bacillota; Desulfuribacillia; Desulfuribacillales; Desulfuribacillaceae.
UAGUUGUUGCGGCCUCUACAAAAAUUAAGAUGGUUUAGCAAGAGAAAUGUUUCAAUUUUAUGCUUUUUGAAUACUUUUUAUUAGGAGGCCAAUAAUAUGACUGGCAAAGUAAAAUGGUUUAAUGCAGAAAAAGGUUUUGGAUUUAUCGAGCGUGAAGGUGGAGACGACGUAUUCGUACACUUCUCAGCUAUCCAAGGCGAAGGUUUCAAAACACUUGAAGAAGGUCAAGAAGUUACAUUUGACAUCGUUGAUGGAAACCGCGGACCUCAAGCAGCAAACGUAGUUCGUGCUUAAUUAAUAAAUUAAACAUCGUAUUACAUGAAGGCAUUAUUCUACAAGUGGAAUAAUGCCUUUUU